Y RNA from Callithrix jacchus (white-tufted-ear marmoset), 104 nucleotides. It matches the Rfam family "Y RNA". Rfam says of the family: Y RNAs are components of the Ro ribonucleoprotein particle (Ro RNP), in association with Ro60 and La proteins. The Y RNAs and Ro60 and La proteins are well conserved, but the function of the Ro RNP is not known. The record is from Ensembl. Lineage: Eukaryota; Metazoa; Chordata; Mammalia; Primates; Cebidae.
GGCUGGUCCAAAGCUAGUGAGUUACCUCAACUGAUUGUUCACAGUCAAUUACAGACUCCUUGUUCUCUUUCCUUCCUUCUCACUGCUGCACUUGAUAGUCUUCA